This 62-nucleotide transfer RNA is filed under the name Sinergasilus polycolpus. RNAcentral describes it as "tRNA-Met". The record is from RNAcentral. Lineage: Eukaryota; Metazoa; Arthropoda; Copepoda; Poecilostomatoida; Ergasilidae.
UAAAGAGUAAGCUAAGUAAGCUGAAGGGCUCAUAACUCUUUGAUAAUUUUAAUUCUCUUUAA